GCAGUCGAGCGGACGGAAUGGGAGCUUGCUCCCUGAAGUCAGCGGCGGACGGGUGAGUAACACGUGGGCAACCUGCCUGUAAGACUGGGAUAACUCCGGGAAACCGGGGCUAAUACCGGAUAACUCUUUUCCUCACAUGAGGAAAAGCUGAAAGAUGGUUUCGGCUAUCACUUACAGAUGGGCCCGCGGCGCAUUAGCUAGUUGGUGAGGUAACGGCUCACCAAGGCCACGAUGCGUAGCCGACCUGAGAGGGUGAUCGGCCACACUGGGACUGAGACACGGCCCAGACUCCUACGGGGGGCAGCAGUAGGGAAUCUUCCGCAAUGGACGAAAGUCUGACGGAGCAACGCCGCGUGAGUGAUGAAGGUUUUCGGAUCGUAAAACUCUGUUGUCAGGGAAGAACAAGUACCGGAGUAACUGCCGGUACCUUGACGGUACCUGACCAGAAAGCCACGGCUAACUACGUGCCAGCAGCCGCGGUAAUACGUAGGUGGCAAGCGUUGUCCGGAAUUAUUGGGCGUAAAGCGCGCGCAGGCGGUUCCUUAAGUCUGAUGUGAAAGCCCCCGGCUCAACCGGGGAGGGUCAUUGGAAACUGGGGAACUUGAGUGCAGAAGAGAAGAGUGGAAUUCCACGUGUAGCGGUGAAAUGCGUAGAGAUGUGGAGGAACACCAGUGGCGAAGGCGACUCUUUGGUCUGUAACUGACGCUGAGGCGCGAAAGCGUGGGGAGCAAACAGGAUUAGAUACCCUGGUAGUCCACGCCGUAAACGAUGAGUGUUAAGUGUUAGAGGGUUUCCGCCCUUUAGUGCUGCAGCGAACGCAUUAAGCACUCCGCCUGGGGAGUACG
RNAcentral lists this ribosomal RNA (845 nucleotides) under uncultured bacterium. RNAcentral's name for it is "bacterial SSU rRNA". It matches the Rfam family "Bacterial small subunit ribosomal RNA", at positions 57 to 884 of the family's 1533-position model. The record is from RNAcentral.